CCCAAUGUGGAAUUCGCCCUUAGAGUUUGUCCUGGCUCAGAACGAACGCUGGCGGCGUGGAUUAGGCAUGCAAGUCGAGCGAGUAAUGGACUGAUACUGAAGGCCGUAAGGCCCGAAGUAACGGACCAUAGACGAGCGGCAAACGGGUGAGCAAUACGUGGAUAAUCUGCCUUCCAAUUGGGGACAACUUGCCGAAAGGCGAGCUAAUACCGAAUGAGACUACAUCUUCGCAUGAGGAAGUAGUUAAAGGCGGGGACCCGGAAUUAAUUCUUAAAAAAUUAGUUCUGGGCCUGCUAUAGGAAGAGGAGUCCGCGUCCUAUCAGCUUGUUGGUGAGGUAACGGCCCACCAAGGCAUUUGACGGGUAGCUGGUCUGAGAGGAUGGUCAGCCACACUGGGACUGAGACACUGCCCAGACUCCUACGGGAGGCUGCAGUCGAGAAUCUUUUGCAAUGGGCGAAAGCCUGACAAUGCGACCGCCGCGUGAGCGAUGAAGGUCUUCGGAUCGUAAAGCUCUGUUGCAGGGGAUGAAAUUCUACCUUUUUAAUAGAUGGUUGGUAUUGACAGUACCUUGAGAGGAAACCACGGCUAACUCCGUUGCCACCACCCCGGUAAUACGGAGGUGGCAAGCUUGUUCGGAUUGAUUGGGUGUAAAGGGCAUGUUAGGCGUCUUGAUAAGUCGAAUGUGAAAUCCCUUGAGCUCAACUAAAGGAAGUGCACUCGAAACUAUCAGGAUUGAGUUACGGAAGGGGAGAAUGGAAUUCCCGGUGUAAGAGUGAAAUCUGUAGAUAUCGGGAGGAACACCAGUAGCGAAGGCGAUUCUCUGGUCCGAUACUGACGCUGAAAUGCGAAAGCUAAGGGAGCAAACAGGAUUAGAUACCCUGGUAGUCUUAGCCGUAAACGAUGGGCACUAGGUGUAGGCUUGCAAGAGUCUGUGCCGCAGUUAACGCAUUAAGUGCCCCACCUGGGGAGUACGUCGGCAACGAUGAAACUCAAAGGAAUUGACGGGGGCCCGCACAAGCGGUGGAGCAUGUGGUUUAAUAGGAUGCUACGCCUGGAACCUUACCAGGACUUGACAUGUGGGUGGUAGUGAACCGAAAGGGGAACGACCUCGCAAGAGGAGCCUUCACAGGUGUUGCAUGGCUGUCGUCAGCUCGUGUCGUGAGAUGUUGGGUUAAGUCCCGCAACGAGCAAGGGCGAAUUCCACAGUG
This 1209-nucleotide ribosomal RNA is filed under the name uncultured bacterium. RNAcentral's name for it is "bacterial SSU rRNA". It matches the Rfam family "Bacterial small subunit ribosomal RNA", at positions 1 to 1116 of the family's 1533-position model. The record is from RNAcentral.